GGAGAAUUACUCAAGAGGCUGAAGAGGACGGUUUGCUAAAUCGUUAGGUCGGGUAACCGACGCGGGGGUUCGAAUCCCCCAUUCUCCG
This 88-nucleotide transfer RNA is filed under the name Streptococcus thermophilus. RNAcentral's name for it is "tRNA-Ser". It matches the Rfam family "tRNA". From Rfam's summary of the family: Transfer RNA (tRNA) molecules are approximately 80 nucleotides in length. Their secondary structure includes four short double-helical elements and three loops (D, anti-codon, and T loops). Further hydrogen bonds mediate the characteristic L-shaped molecular structure. tRNAs have two regions of fundamental functional importance: the anti-codon, which is responsible for specific mRNA codon recognition, and the 3' end, to which the tRNAs corresponding amino acid is attached (by aminoacyl-tRNA synthetases). tRNAs cope with the degeneracy of the genetic code in two manners: having more than one tRNA (with a specific anti-codon) for a particular amino acid; and 'wobble' base-pairing, i.e. permitting non-standard base-pairing at the 3rd anti-codon position. RNAcentral also lists the same sequence under 2 other names. The record is from RNAcentral. Lineage: Bacteria; Bacillati; Bacillota; Bacilli; Lactobacillales; Streptococcaceae.